Molecule: long non-coding RNA, 601 nt
Organism: Papaver somniferum (opium poppy)
Lineage: Eukaryota; Viridiplantae; Streptophyta; Magnoliopsida; Ranunculales; Papaveraceae
Exons: 3
Source: RefSeq, a predicted model, not a curated record
GUUGCUAGAACAAUCUCGGUGGUUCAACUAGACCAAGAAUUAGAAUAUGCAAGCUAAUGAGGAUAAGGAAUGGUUGUGAGUCGAAAUUCAGAUAAACCCAAUGCGUUAAACGAGGGGGAGUUGAAGGAUCUUGUGCAAUUUUGGGUUAAGUUCUAGUAAUGUUUCAGGUACUUUCCGAUGGCAAUGUCAAAGAGUAGAAACCGUUUUGUUUUGUAAGGUAUUUUCUGAUGGCAAUGUCAAAGAGUAGAAGCCUCACACAGUGUGCAGCAAAAACUAUUCGACGCAAAGCUGAAGUGGAUACACAAGUUGGUGGUUACAGUCACUGUUCUCUUUGAAAUUUUAAAGUAUAUUUCUCAUAUUUGGAUUCGACUAUUCAUGGUUGAGGUACAUUUCUCAUAUGUGUCUGUGUACAAGUACAACUAGUAGAGAGGAGUUAGUUAGGUCUAAAUUGAAGUAUAAAGUUUCGCUACUUUUAAGGUCAACUUUAAAGUCGGAGAUUCUGUAAGUUAAUUUGUUUCUUUUCUUAUGGUGAAGUAGGAUUUUUUAUAAUCUGUAACAUAAACUUCUUUUUUGUUAAUGAAAUCCGAAUUGUUUGUUUUAA